CCAGACUCCUACGGGAGGCAGCAGUGGGGGAUAUUGCACAAUGGGGGGAACCCUGAUGCAGCGACGCCGCGUGGGUGAAGAAGUGCUUCGGCAUGUAAAGCCCUAUCGGCAGGGAAGAAGCAAGACGGUACCUGACUAAGAAGCCCCGGCUAACUACGUGCCAGCAGCCGCGGUAAUACGUAGGGGGCGAGCGUUAUCCGGAUUCACUGGGUGUAAAGGGCGUGCAGCCGGGCUGACAAGUCAGAUGUGAAAUCCCGCGGCUCAACCGCGGAACUGCAUUUGAAACUGUCAGUCUUGAGUACCGGAGAGGUCAUCGGAAUUCCUUGUGUAGCGGUGAAAUGCGUAGAUAUAAGGAAGAACACCAGUGGCGAAGGCGGAUGACUGGACGGCAACUGACGGUGAGGCGCGAAAGCGUGGGGAGCAAACAGGAUUAGAUACCCCUGUAGUA
RNAcentral lists this ribosomal RNA (448 nucleotides) under uncultured bacterium. Its description in RNAcentral is "partial 16S ribosomal RNA". It matches the Rfam family "Bacterial small subunit ribosomal RNA", at positions 331 to 795 of the family's 1533-position model. The record is from RNAcentral.